Molecule: long non-coding RNA, 1243 nt
Filed under: Daucus carota (carrot)
Lineage: Eukaryota; Viridiplantae; Streptophyta; Magnoliopsida; Apiales; Apiaceae
Description: long non-coding RNA (DCAR_LNC001207)
Source: RNAcentral
AGGACUGAAGUGGUGGUGGAGUUGGAAAUGGGGAUGAUGCCGAGGCCGCCUUCCAUGAAGGAGACGAUGAAACGGCUGUUGGGGGCGUCGUAUUUGGAGCAUUCUCGGAGGAAGCCGGAGGAGUGGAAGUGGUACUGGUGGGAGGAAGGUGUGGCGGAUUCUAGAGAGAUGAGAAUGGCUAUGGGGAUGACGGAGAUUAGGAGGGUCAGGAGGACGAAUCUCGUUGAACACAAGAAACCCAUCGGAGAGAUUUCGAGAGAGAGAGAGAUUUUGAGAGAGAUGGGCUGAGCAGUUGAGUGAUAGGAGAAUGGGGGGAGAAUGGGAGGGAAUAAAUAAUACUAUGGCUGGCAUAAAUUUUAACGAUAAACAUAAUUUAACCGGCUCCCUCUCAUUUCUAACCAAUUUAUUCAACCACUUUUCAAAACUAACCAGUUUUUUUUCGAGAAAACGCGACCUGAACGAAAAACUUUUUACAGCACGGGUCGCGCUUUGAAACAGCGACCCAAACACAAAAAACCCCAUUGGGGUCGCUCUUUCAAAGAGAGACCCAUGCUGUAAAAAGUUCCAUAUGGGUCGCCCUUUGAAAGAGCGACCCAUAUGGGUUAUUUUAAAAAAAAAAAAUAAACGCCAAAUCAGGAAUCAUGAGUGGCAGAUGAAAACAACAGGAGGAUCUUUAAAGCUCAUUUCAAGUAUGUAAUAAAUAUACACACCUAUCCAAUUUGGUACUAAAUAAAUAAUUAAAUAUUAAGAAUAAUAAUAAUACCUGGACCACUUAGUUGAGUUAAAAACAAGCGAGACCAAUCAGAGAGAUCAUAAGCAGCAACAGCGCUGUACUUGUUCCCCAACAAGUCCGAUAUGACUACCACGACGCGGUUCCUCUUGCUGUCAAUGGUGAGACCCAGAGUUGCAUUUGUGUAUAAAUCGGCGUCUUUGACGACGGGAAUCUCGGGGAGGACUGAAGUGGUGGUGGAGUUGGAAAUGGGGAUGAUGCCGAGGCCGCCUUCCAUGAAGGAGACGAUGAAACGGCUGUUGGGGGCGUCGUAUUUGGAGCAUUCUCGGAGGAAGCCGGAGGAGUGGAAGUGGUACUGGUGGGAGGAAGGUGUGGCGGAUUCUAGAGAGAUGAGAAUGGCUAUGGGGAUGACGGAGAUUAGGAGGGUCAGGAGGACGAAUCUCGUUGAACACAAGAAACCCAUCGGAGAGAUUUCGAGAGAGAGAGAGAUUUUGAGAGAGAUGGGCUGAGCAG